CGUUAACAGGCUGCUGAAAUGGACAUAUACAAUGGAAUAUACCCAUAAUUCAUUGCUCAUAUAUUGCAUAAAUAUAAUUUAAUGAGAUGGGGAAAAUCCCGAGAUUGGAGGAAGGGGGGAGGGGGGUCGCUACUUGUUUACUGGCUUGUCCCCCUUCAUGUUUUAAACACUUCUAAAUGCGAAAUGCCUGUUUCCCGAUGAGAAGGACUGUCUCCGAGUCCCAACACGGGCACCCCAACAGCAACAGCAACAACAGCAGCCACAUCAAAAUACUAGAAUUGCAAAGAGGUAGGAGAACACAGUGAAUUCACAGCAGAGUAACUCCCUAAGGAAGCCACUGGACAGGACUCUUUGAUCGCUCAUUCUUUCAAUAAAAAAAAAAGCAUUCCAGCUUUUGCCGGCUGGACUCUAUUGAAACACCACCCGUGUGAAGAUUUUUUUUUUAACCCAAAAAAAUUAAGGCAGCUGAUUUUUGUCAGCGUUAAAUUCUAUGUGUUUGUGUACCAGCAGAUGAUGGCAUUGGCUCUCUAAACGUGCUCGCCAGAGAUUGUAGCAAACGGGGCACUGCACGGUUUUCACCAAACAAUGCUGUCGCUUAAAGCUACAUCUAUUGUCACAUUUGCAAAUUUCGAAUCCAGCCAACCGUAGAUUCUGUCGGCUUUUUUCCCUCCUUUGGCUUGCUGCGUGCUACCCCAAAAAAUUCACCUUCAGUGCAGAGGAAAGCGCUGCUUGGCUGAUCUUGACUCUGAUAAAGUGACGAAGGGGGUCAGUCCAGGAAAAGAGGCCAGUGCAGCUUUAAAAGAAAUCAGUGAUGCAAACAAACUGUUGUGAUAUUGGCGCACAUGAUGCAGAGCCGCGCCAAAGACAAAACAAACGGCAACUUGUAAGGGGAUGAGGGUCUUGUUUACAUAUCGGGAUGGCUUGAGUCUUAGCAUCGAGUGCGCAGCUAACGAAAUAAAACAAGAAGGAGUCCUGCAAAACAACAACAACUACAACAACAGCAACGCACGUUUAGUCAAAACAGCCUGUUCGAACACAGCAGUUCAAUCAGCUGCAGGACUCCAGCCAUUAACAGGAAGCCUCUUAUCCCUGGUAGCUGCCGUGGAGCAGCCCAGAGACGAUCCCGGAAGCACCGGAAACAAGGCAGGGCCGCGCUCGGGACCGGACGCCAGUCCACACCGCAGGACGCGCGUGCGCACACGCGUGGGUUAGACACCCCUGAACCCCGCGAGCGGUAAGACACGAACCCAGAACCGGGCGAGGAGCCCAGGACCCGGGACAAGACGAACCUCCGCGCUGUCCAUCUGUGGACUCAUUACUCGAAUCAAAAUACCCUACAUUUGAAGAAGAUUAGUUUGCGCGAAAUCGCGAGCACAUUUGAGCCAUGGACGUUUUUAAUAUGCCUCUUCUUCAGAUUUAUUUAUAGCAAGGGCAUUACUACCCUUUUUUUGAAAGGCACUGACACACUAACGUCUUCUUAAGAAUCACAAAACGUCUUCCGUGCGGUCAUUUCCAUGUUCAUAUUUGUGUCAGCUUUUUGUGCACACCUGGAACUGAACUUAGAAUCAUGCAUGCAACUUUUCGGUAUUAAAACAAAUUGUUGUCCAAACUGAUGUAUAAACAGUUCAAUUGUGCAUUUAUGUUUUGAACGAAGAUGUGUACCUCUUGCUAACGCUAUUUAAUACAUUCCACCUAAAUGUGGACUCUAAAAUGUAUUUUAAAUUAAUGCAACGUGUUUUCUGCUUAUCGUCAAUAAAAAAAUGGAUGUUCCUUUAACAAUAGUUCUACAUGUUCUGAUUAUCUAAUGUGAGUGUAAUAUUUAAAGAAAUGGAAAGUUAUCCUUUAGUUCAGAAAUGUCACAAAAUAAAAG
Long non-coding RNA from Lepisosteus oculatus (spotted gar), 1870 nucleotides. Lineage: Eukaryota; Metazoa; Chordata; Actinopteri; Semionotiformes; Lepisosteidae. The record is from Ensembl.